This 253-nucleotide ribosomal RNA is filed under the name uncultured bacterium. RNAcentral's name for it is "partial 16S ribosomal RNA". It matches the Rfam family "Bacterial small subunit ribosomal RNA", at positions 524 to 776 of the family's 1533-position model. The record is from RNAcentral.
UACGUAGGGUGCAAGCGUUGUCCGGAAUUAUUGGGCGUAAAGAGCUCGUAGGCGGUCUGUCGCGUCGGCUGUGAAAACUCGGGGCUCAACCCCGAGCCUGCAGUCGAUACGGGCAGACUAGAGUGCUGUAGGGGAGACUGGAAUUCCUGGUGUAGCGGUGAAAUGCGUAGAUAUCGGAAGGAACACCUGUGGCGAAAGCGGCUCACUGGACCAUUACUGACGCUGAGGAGCGAAAGCGUGGGGAGCGAACAGG